CCAGAAUUGCUCGUUGCGCCACCAAUCCUCGAGCUCGAUGCCGGACCACUUGACCUCGAGGAUGCCGAGGGCGACGAGGGUGAUGGUCAUGGUGAGGAGGUAGCAAAGGAAGGCGAUGUCGAGCUUCUGGACGAUGAAGAAGCCGGAGAAGAGGGAGAGCGCCGGGAUGAAGCAGUAGACGAGGAGGAAGAUGGAGGUGAAGGGGUAGAUGCCGACGUUGAGGUAGGAGAUCCGCUGCAGCAGCAUGAGCUUGCGCGACGCCAGGAACGCGUUGUUCCGGGAGAAGAAGAUCUCGACGGAGCCCGUCGCCCACCGGAGCACCUGGUGGAGCCUGUCGGUGAGGUUGAUCGGCGCCGUGCCCAGGAACGCGUCGCGCUUGGUGAUGCAGUAGACGGAGCGCCACCCGCGGUUGUGCAUCCGGUAGCCGGUCACCACGUCCUCGGUGACGGAGCCAUCCACCCCACGCGGUCGCCCCACUCCGUCUUGUCCUCGUACCAGCACGAGAUCACCGACACGGCCUCCGCCACCGUCGGCGGGUCCAGCGGCGGCCGCGGCACGGUGAGCGCGCCGGACGGCCUGCCGUGCAGCACCGCCGGGUGGUCGGCGAGGGGCCGCGCCUGGAACUCGGCGACGGGGAUCGACGCCAUGAACGGCGACGAGUUGCCGAACCGGCGCGGGACGAGGUGCGACGUGAGCUCGGCGUCGAAGUCCUCCGCCUUGAGCGUCUGGGUGUCCGACUCCGGGUCCUUGAACGUGGUCACCUUCUUCUUGCCACCCCGUGUACUCGGCGGUGCGCGGAGGGUCGAAGCCGUAGACGGCGAAGCGGCGGAACAUGCAGCCCGUGCCGACGUACAUGGGGCCCUGGAGGCCGUCGAGCGCGCGCAUGUUGCCAUCGAAGAAGACGGUGUUGUUGUUGGCGUAGCGGUCGGAGGGGUCGAUCCCCUCGAAGCGCUGCGGGAACUGGAUGUAGGCGAUGCGCUCGCCGCCGCGGUCCAUGAAGAAGCACAUGGCCUCGCGCACCGCCUGCGCGUUGUUGAUGUAGUGGUCGCAGUCGAAGUUGAGCAUGAAGGGGCCGUUCGACAUGACGGCGGAGCAUCGGACGAGCGCGUUCAUGGCGCCGGCCUUCUUGUUGUGGUCGUAGCCCGGGCGCUUCUCCCGCGACAUGUAGACGAGCAUCGGGAGGCGGAUGUCGACGUCGCUGAAGUCGAUCAUCUGGUCGUCGUCGUGCAUCCCAGCGGGUCGGGCGACGGCGGCUUGAGCAUCACCUGGAGGAUCCCGGCGUGGUUGCCCUUGGCGUGGUCGGGCGCCGACGCCGCCCAUGUCCCCGGCCAGUGCGAGCCGUCCGCCAUCCACGUCGCCUUCUUCACCUUGGGCUGCUCCGACGGGUCGGCGCCCGUCUCGCGGAGGUGCUUGAGCAUCUUCAUGUCCUCGCGCGCGUUGAACGCGUCGGAGCGCCGCCGGAUGGAGUCCGGGAGGCCAUUGAUGCGCACCUUGAACUCGUCGAACUCGCGCUUCACCCUGCGCCGGUCCUUGACGAAGUCGUUGCGCCGCUUGCCCUUCGUGAGCAGCGCGCCGCCGUCGUCGGACACGUAG
This 1593-nucleotide long non-coding RNA is filed under the name Oryza sativa Indica Group (long-grained rice). Its description in RNAcentral is "lncRNA OsZS97_08G012410". Lineage: Eukaryota; Viridiplantae; Streptophyta; Magnoliopsida; Poales; Poaceae. The record is from RNAcentral.